Molecule: unclassified non-coding RNA, 351 nt
Filed under: soil metagenome
Description: partial contains 5.8S ribosomal RNA, internal transcribed spacer 2, and large subunit ribosomal RNA
Rfam family: 5.8S ribosomal RNA (bases 1-120)
Source: RNAcentral
GAUGAAGAACGCAGCGAAAUGCGAUAAGUAAUGUGAAUUGCAGAAUUCAGUGAAUCAUCGAAUCUUUGAACGCACAUUGCGCCCGCCAGUAUUCUGGCGGGCAUGCCUGUUCGAGCGUCAUUACAACCCUCAGGCCCCCGGGCCUGGCGUUGGGAUCGGCGGAGCCCCCCGUGGGCACACGCCGUCCCCCAAAUGCAGUGGCGGUCCCGCCGCAGCUUCCAUCGCGUAGUAGCUAACACCUCGCGACUGGAGAGCGGCGCGGCCACGCCGUAAAACACCCAACUCUUCUGAAGUUGACCUCGAAUCAGGUAGGAAUACCCGCUGAACUUAAGCAUAUCAAUAAGCGGAGGA